UGGGGAAUAUUGCACAAUGGGGGAAACCCUGAUGCAGCGACGCCGCGUGAACGAAGAAGGUAUUCGUAUCGUAAAGUUCUGUCCUAUGGGAAGAUAAUGACAGUACCAUAGAAGAAAGCUCCGGCUAAAUACGUGCCAGCAGCCGCGGUAAUACGUAUGGAGCGAGCGUUGUCCGGAAUUAUUGGGCGUAAAGGGUACGCAGGCGGUUUAAUAAGUCGAAUGUUAAAGAUCGGGGCUCAACCCCGCAAAGCAUUGGAAACUGAUAAACUUGAGUAGUGGAGAGGAAAGUGGAAUUCCUAGUGUAGUGGUGAAAUACGUAGAUAUUAGGAGGAAUACCAGUAGCGAAGGCGACUUUCUGGACACAAACUGACGCUGAGGACGAAAGCGUGGGGAGCAAACAGG
Molecule: ribosomal RNA, 402 nt
Filed under: bacterium
Lineage: Bacteria
Description: partial 16S ribosomal RNA
Rfam family: Bacterial small subunit ribosomal RNA
Source: RNAcentral